GACCAUUUUUGUUGUCAUAAAAACCUUCUUCUUUACAAUACAGAAUAACGAUUGUCAAUAGUAAAUAUUAUGAAAACAAUAACUGUUGUAUUUUUCAUCAUUAUAUAGUUUAUGUAUUAUAAUUGUAAAAACAAAACAAAUUUAGCAACUCACAUAGUAAUCAUUCAACACUGCUUAAAAAUGUAAGUUGAAAAUUAAACUCAUGAUUAAGCAUGAAAUAAGAUACAGAAUCAGUAAAUUCGAUUUUAAUGUGGGUAUAUUAUCAGUAAACUAAUCAUUAAAUAUUUAUAAUCAAUCAAAAAAUAUUGCCCCCUUUCAUAAUGUUGUUCAAAAAUGAAGGGCACAAUGUUAAUGUUGUCCACUCGAUGGCGCCACAGGACAGCAAAUACUUCAAGAUCUGUUCAAAGACUUGAAAAUGUUUCAUUUAUGUAAAUAAAUCAAAAAUGCAUAUACAUUCAUUCUUUUUUCAUAAACUUUAAUAAAGCCCAAUAUAGUAAUUAUGCAAAAACUAUCAUCUCCAAAAUACCAUUACGUUUUUAUCUUAUUUUAAUAGUAUUGACAACAUAUUUCUCAAGUUAUCACGCAUUACUGAAAAAGUGAAGAAGGGACACUAUAUUUGUUAUCUAUUUUCAUGUUGUGCGUAUAAUAAUUUACUUGAAAAGAGACACGUCCAUUGUUUAACUGCAUCAUCUACACAAACCAUUGUGCUUGGACCCCUUAUGAUCACCUGGACUUAAACCACAUUGUUUCAGUUACCUUCUGUGUCUUUGGCCACAACGCUUCAGUGACAGGAAUGUGAAAUAGCAAACAGGGGAACAAAUAAAAGGCAUGACUUUAUUUGCAUCCAGCUAGCCAACUCUAUUACAGAUGUUCCACAGCCAAGACUCUUAUUAGAAUAGAAAAUAGCAAGGGUUCGAAUAAAUAGUUUAUUAAUCAUUUAAUUUCACUUUCUUAAUGAAUAUUGUUCUGUGUAUGUGAUUUCAA
Molecule: long non-coding RNA, 984 nt
Organism: Cyprinus carpio carpio
Lineage: Eukaryota; Metazoa; Chordata; Actinopteri; Cypriniformes; Cyprinidae
Source: Ensembl